UCUAGUCUGACACUGUGAAAAAGCAUGAGAGGUGUAGAAGAAGUGGGAGGAGCAAUCCGCCGGUGAAAUACCACGACUCCUAUCGUGUUUUUUUUUACUUAUUCGGUGAAGCGGAGCUGGAACUCAACGUCCACUUUUUAGCAUUAAGACCGCUCUUCUGCCCGUCGAUCCGAGCCGCAGACAGUGCCAGGUUGGAA
RNAcentral lists this ribosomal RNA (197 nucleotides) under Paramuricea clavata. RNAcentral's name for it is "Eukaryotic large subunit ribosomal RNA". It matches the Rfam family "Eukaryotic large subunit ribosomal RNA", at positions 2427 to 2618 of the family's 3401-position model. Lineage: Eukaryota; Metazoa; Cnidaria; Anthozoa; Malacalcyonacea; Plexauridae. The record is from Rfam by way of RNAcentral.